Molecule: ribosomal RNA, 454 nt
Filed under: uncultured bacterium
Lineage: Bacteria
Description: bacterial SSU rRNA
Rfam family: Bacterial small subunit ribosomal RNA
Source: RNAcentral
GAUGAACGCUGGCGGCGUGCCUAACACAUGCAAGUCGAACGGAACUAUUUUGGAAACUCCUUCGGGAGCGGAAUUUUUAGUUUAGUGGCGGACGGGUGAGUAACGCGUGAGCAAUCUGCCUUUAAGAGGGGGAUAACAGUCGGAAACGGCUGCUAAUACCGCAUAAAGCAUCAAAUUCGCAUGUUUUUGAUGCCAAAGGAGCAAUCCGCUUUUAGAUGAGCUCGCGUCUGAUUAGCUGGUUGGCGGGGUAACGGCCCACCAAGGCGACGAUCAGUAGCCGGACUGAGAGGUUGAACGGCCACAUUGGGACUGAGACACGGCCCAGACUCCUACGGGAGGCAGCAGUGGGGAAUAUUGCGCAAUGGGGGAAACCCUGACGCAGCAACGCCGCGUGAUUGAAGAAGGCCUUCGGGUUGUAAAGAUCUUUAAUCAGGGACGAAACAAAUGACGGUAC